CGCGAAUCGCCCUUCGGGGUGCCCAGGCGCGAAAACUUUACAAUGCCGGCAACGGCGAUAAGGGAACCUCGAGUGCCAGGUUAUAAAUCUGGCUGUCGUGAUGCCUAAAAAGCAUUGCAUAGCAAGGGCCGGGCAAGACCGGUGCCAGCCGCCGCGGUAACACCGGCGGCUCGAGUGGUAACCGUUAUUAUAGGGUCUAAAGGGUCUGUAGCCGGCCGGAUAAGUCUCUUGGGAAAUCCAGCAGCUCAACUGUUGGGCUUCCAGGAGAUACUGUCUGGCUCGAGGCCGGGGGAGGUGAGAGGUACUUCAGGGGUAGGGGUGAAAUCUUGUAAUCCUUGAAGGACCACCAGUGGCGAAGGCGUCUCACCAGAACGGACCUGACGGCAAGGGACGAAAGCUAGGGGCACGAACCGGAUUAGAUACCCGGGUAGUCCUAGCCGUAAACGAUACUCGCUAGGUGUCGGCCACGGUGCGACCGUGGUCGGUGCCGUAGGGAAGCCGUGAAGCGAGCCACCUGGGAAGUACGGCCGCAAGGCUGAAACUUAAAGGAAUUGGCGGGGGAGCAC
Molecule: ribosomal RNA, 566 nt
Filed under: uncultured archaeon
Lineage: Archaea
Description: bacterial SSU rRNA
Rfam family: Archaeal small subunit ribosomal RNA
Source: RNAcentral